CUUAGAGGUUAAGCCCGAUGAACCUGAAUAUCCAUUAUGAAAAAUUCAUCAUUAUAACUAUAAUAUUAAUUUAUUAAUAUUUAUAUGUGAUAGUGUGCAUUUUUUUCAUAUAAGGACAUUGUGAUCUAUUAACAUAUAAAAGUGUAUUUAUCAAAAGAUCAUUAGCUUUUAAGUUUAUUUUAAUUAAUUUGCUUUUUUAGCUUAUUAACAUAAAAUAAAUGCAAAUGAUUUGAUAAAGUGUUAAUAGAUUUAUGUUAUAUAAUGCUUAAAUCUUUCCAAAAUAAAGAUUUUACAAUAAUAUUAAAAUCUAUGAUUUUAUAUAUUUAUUGUAUGCAUU
Molecule: ribosomal RNA, 337 nt
Filed under: Cyclopsia inscripta
Lineage: Eukaryota; Metazoa; Arthropoda; Insecta; Diptera; Tephritidae
Description: partial 28S ribosomal RNA
Source: RNAcentral